CCCAACUCAGACUAGACCUGACUCUCCUCAUUUCUCACGGAUGGAACUGACUUGAGCAACUUACUACCAUUCACUAUACAUGGGCGAAGUGUCUGCAGGCCAGACUCUUAUCACGGCAGAUGCAGUGUACAGUUUGGAUAGUGAUAUCUGCAUAAGGUUUCACCUCUUCGAGAAUGUGUGGCAUUGAUCUCGAAGACUUCAUCCUGCUUCCAGACUCUGGAUACCCUCUCAGCUUUGAGUAUUCAACAUUAUUGAAACUGUUCUGAACUUUUGCUGAACUUGAAGUUAAAUCAAACUCAGGUACUGCGUAAUCUCCAAAAACAUGAUCUGGAGACACCAAAUUCUCAUAGUCUGGCUCAUCGUCAUCACCUUCUGCACUGUGGUCAUUUAUAGGUGUAAUGUUUUCAUAAUUAGGAGUAUUAUCUUUCGUGUUUGCGUGACUUCUGUUAUCUUCCUGCCUGCUUCCAAAGCCAUUGAGAGUGUUAUUACUCUCAUGUGGAGAACUGUCAUCAAUAAUUGCAUAGACACAUUCGCUUUGUUCUGUGUUCUCUACAGUAUUAAUAUUUUGUGUUUUGCACACUCCCGCUACACCGUAAGCCUCAUUGCAACUCGUGGGUAUGUCUUCAUUCAACUUGACAUUAUUACUUUCUUCGUCACUCACACGUUUCUUUCUCAUUACCUCAGAAACAGAGAGGAUAUCAUCGUAACCAGAUGAUACAUCGAGGUGGUCCUGGGAUAUAUCUGCACUUUCAAUUUCAACUUGACAUCCCUUAAUCAGGUGUUCCUUUGUCGGAGGGAGGAUCACAGAGACUCAAUUAUGCACACGUAAACUUUCCACUUCCUUAGAUUCUAUUGAGUAUAAUUAUUGACAACAUAAUUAUUAUGAAUAUCAAAUGAAGUUGUGUCGACUAUUGAUCAAGUUUUCAUGCAUGCUAAUGAUCUUAAUGUA
Molecule: long non-coding RNA, 949 nt
Organism: Halichondria panicea
Lineage: Eukaryota; Metazoa; Porifera; Demospongiae; Suberitida; Halichondriidae
Exons: 4
Source: RefSeq, a predicted model, not a curated record